CCUACGGGAGGCAGCAGUGGGGGAUAUUGCACAAUGGGGGGAACCCUGAUGCAGCGACGCCGCGUGGGUGAAGGAGUGCUUCGGCAUGUAAAGCCCUAUCGGCAGGGAAGAAGCAAGACGGUACCUGACUAAGAAGCCCCGGCGAACUACGGGCCAGCAGUCGCGGUAAUACGCAGGGGGCCAGCCUUAUCCGGAUGUACUGGGGGUAAAGGGAGCGGCGGCGGCCGUGCAAGACAGGGGGGAAAGCCCUGGGUCUAACCCCGGGAUUGCCGUUGGAACUGAGUGACUGGAGUGCGGGAGGGGCAGGCGGAAUUCCAGGUGUAGCGGUGAAAUGCGUAGAUAUCAGGAGGAACACCAGCGGCGAAGGCGGCCUGCUGGACCGCGACUGACGUUGAGGCUCGAAAGCGUGGGGAGCGAACAGGAUUAGAUACCCCUGUAGUC
Molecule: ribosomal RNA, 441 nt
Filed under: uncultured bacterium
Lineage: Bacteria
Description: partial 16S ribosomal RNA
Rfam family: Bacterial small subunit ribosomal RNA
Source: RNAcentral